This is a non-coding RNA of Trametes meyenii, 92 nucleotides long. The record is from the annotation of a GenBank genome assembly. Lineage: Eukaryota; Fungi; Basidiomycota; Agaricomycetes; Polyporales; Polyporaceae.
GGCGAUAUGGCCGAGCGGUCUAAGGCGCUAGAAUCAGGACCCAAGGUUCUAUCUAGUCUUCACGGGCGUGGGUUCGAAUCCCACUGUCGUCA